Molecule: long non-coding RNA, 221 nt
Filed under: Elaeis guineensis (African oil palm)
Lineage: Eukaryota; Viridiplantae; Streptophyta; Magnoliopsida; Arecales; Arecaceae
Description: long non-coding RNA (EGUI_LNC030139)
Source: RNAcentral
AGAACUUCUCAAACCUAAAUAGAGCUCUGGGCAAUCAUGGACUAUCAGUAGUAAUGAGAAGCAGAUAGUAGUUUGAAGCGAUCCUCAAAAGGUGCUGUCCCUGAUGGCUAGGGAACCAUUGGAGCCAGGCGGUGGUAGCAAGCAUUCAAUCAAUCCACUCCCAAACCCUAACUCCCCCAAGAUGGUUGUUACACCAAGUGAACCAGGAUCCGGUGUAACCA